This 440-nucleotide ribosomal RNA is filed under the name uncultured bacterium. Its description in RNAcentral is "partial 16S ribosomal RNA". It matches the Rfam family "Bacterial small subunit ribosomal RNA", at positions 338 to 795 of the family's 1533-position model. The record is from RNAcentral.
CCUACGGGUGGCUGCAGUGGGGAAUAUUGCACAAUGGGGGAAACCCUGAUGCAGCGACGCCGCGUGAGUGAAGAAGUAUUUCGGUAUGUAAAGCUCUAUCAGCAGGGAAGAAAAUGACGGUACCUGACUAAGAAGCCCCGGCUAACUACGUGCCAGCAGCCGCGGUAAUACGUAGGGGGCAAGCGUUAUCCGGAUUUACUGGGUGGAAAGGGAGCGUAGACGGGGAUGCAAGUCAGAAGUGAAAGCCCGGGGCUCAACUCCGGGACUGCUUUUGAAACUGUGUGACUUGAGUGCAGGAGAGGUAAGCGGAAUUCCUGGUGUAGCGGUGAAAUGCGUAGAUAUCAGGAGGAACACCAGUGGCGAAGGCGGCUUACUGGACUGUAACUGACGUUGAGGCUCGAAAGCGUGGGGAGCAAACAGGAUUAGAUACCCUAGUAGUC